RNAcentral lists this long non-coding RNA (436 nucleotides) under Homo sapiens (human). RNAcentral describes it as "long intergenic non-protein coding RNA 484". Lineage: Eukaryota; Metazoa; Chordata; Mammalia; Primates; Hominidae. The record is from RNAcentral.
GUGGCAAACGGUGGGGGGAACAAUCAAGACGGACCCAAAGCGGUUGCAGCAGAGAGGGAGGCAUCCAAUCCCGUCCACCAGCCCCCAAAGGCCGUCGUCCUGCCUGGAGAACCUAGCAGUGCUAGGAAACUGACUUUUCUCAAAAAUGAACUCUCCCUACCAAUCUGCACCAUGAAAUUAUUUCAGCAAACAAAAAAUAAUGGUUGCCCAUCACCGCACACUGCGUGUGACUCAGCCAUCACUCACAGGCAAAGAAGGGUGUUCUCUCCUCUCCCUGUCAGUUACUAAUUCUCUGUAAAUGACCAUUUGACAUCCUGGCCGGGGAGGAUUCAGAUCAGAGAUGACUUCCCCACUGCCACAAAGUAUGGUUCUGGGAAGGACAACCAGCCCCAAGGCCACGAAGAUUCUGAAAAAGUUUCUUCUCAUUUGAAGUCCA